UACUUAGUGGCAGACGGGUGAGUAACAUGUGGGUAUCUACCCUUUGGCCUGGAAUAACACGAGGAAACUUGUGCUAAUACCGGAUAAGUCUUUACGGAGAAAGCUUUAUGCACCAUUGGAUGAGCCCGCACUUGAUUAGUUUGUUGGUAGGGUAAUGGCCUACCAAGACUAUGAUCAAUAGCUGAUUUGAGAGGAUGAUCAGCCACAUUGGGACUGAGACACGGCCCAAACUCCUACGGGAGGCAGCAGUGGGGAAUCUUGCACAAUGGAGGAAACUCUGAUGCAGCGAUGCCGCGUGAGUGAAGAAGGCCCUUGGGUUGUAAAGCUCUUUCGUCGGGGAAGAAAAUGACUGUACCCGAAUAAGAAGGUCCGGCUAACUUCGUGCCAGCAGCCGCGGUAAUACGAAGGGACCUAGCGUAGUUCGGAAUUACUGGGCUUAAAGAGUUCGUAGGUGGUUGAAAAAGUUGGUGGUGAAAUCCCAGAGCUUAACUCUGGAACUGCCAUCAAAACUUUUCAGCUAGAGUAUGAUAGAGGAAAGCAGAAUUUCUAGUGUAGAGGUGAAAUUCGUAGAUAUUAGAAAGAAUACCAAUUGCGAAGGCAGCUUUCUGGAUCAUUACUGACACUGAGGAACGAAAGCAUGGGUAGCGAAGAGGAUUAGAUACCCUCGUAGUCCAUGCCGUAAACGA
Molecule: ribosomal RNA, 686 nt
Filed under: alpha proteobacterium SCGC AAA163-O13
Lineage: Bacteria; Pseudomonadati; Pseudomonadota; Alphaproteobacteria
Description: bacterial SSU rRNA
Rfam family: Bacterial small subunit ribosomal RNA
Source: RNAcentral